This 563-nucleotide ribosomal RNA is filed under the name Colletotrichum scovillei. Its description in RNAcentral is "eukaryotic LSU rRNA". The stretch from base 202 to 355 matches the Rfam family "5.8S ribosomal RNA". Lineage: Eukaryota; Fungi; Ascomycota; Sordariomycetes; Glomerellales; Glomerellaceae. The record is from RNAcentral.
UACUGCGGAGGGAUCAUUACUGAGUUACCGCUCUAUAACCCUUUGUGAACAUACCUAACCGUUGCUUCGGCGGGCAGGGGAAGCCUCUCGCGGGCCUCCCCUCCCGGCGCCGGCCCCCACCACGGGGACGGGGCGCCCGCCGGAGGAAACCAAACUCUAUUUACACGACGUCUCUUCUGAGUGGCACAAGCAAAUAAUUAAAACUUUUAACAACGGAUCUCUUGGUUCUGGCAUCGAUGAAGAACGCAGCGAAAUGCGAUAAGUAAUGUGAAUUGCAGAAUUCAGUGAAUCAUCGAAUCUUUGAACGCACAUUGCGCUCGCCAGCAUUCUGGCGAGCAUGCCUGUUCGAGCGUCAUUUCAACCCUCAAGCACCGCUUGGUUUUGGGGCCCCACGGCACACGUGGGCCCUUAAAGGUAGUGGCGGACCCUCCCGGAGCCUCCUUUGCGUAGUAACUAACGUCUCGCACUGGGAUCCGGAGGGACUCUUGCCGUAAAACCCCCAAAUUUUUUACAGGUUGACCUCGGAUCAGGUAGGAAUACCCGCUGAACUUAAGCAUAUCUAG